Molecule: ribosomal RNA, 305 nt
Filed under: uncultured bacterium
Lineage: Bacteria
Description: bacterial SSU rRNA
Rfam family: Bacterial small subunit ribosomal RNA
Source: RNAcentral
UUUCCCUACGGGAGGCAGCAGUGAGGAAUAUUGGUCAAUGGGCGAGAGCCUGAACCAGCCAAGUCGCGUGAGGGAAGACGGUCCUAUGGAUUGUAAACCUCUUUUGCCGGGGAGCAAAAAGCGGUACGUGUACCGCAUCGAGAGUACCCGGAGAAAAAGCAUCGGCUAACUACGUGCCAGCAGCCGCGGUAAUACGUAGGGGGCAAGCGUUAUCCGGAUUCACUGGGCGUAAAGGGAGCGCAGGCGGCAUGGCAAGUCUGAUGUGAAAACCCGGGGCCCAACCCCGGGAGUGCAUUGGAAACUGC